Molecule: ribosomal RNA, 585 nt
Filed under: Bacillus pseudomycoides
Lineage: Bacteria; Bacillati; Bacillota; Bacilli; Caryophanales; Bacillaceae
Description: bacterial SSU rRNA
Rfam family: Bacterial small subunit ribosomal RNA
Source: RNAcentral
AGCUUGCUCUUAUGAAGUUAGCGGCGGACGGGUGAGUAACACGUGGGUAACCUGCCCAUAAGACUGGGAUAACUCCGGGAAACCGGGGCUAAUACCGGAUAACAUUUUGCACCGCAUGGUGCGAAAUUGAAAGGCGGCUUCGGCUGUCACUUAUGGAUGGACCCGCGUCGCAUUAGCUAGUUGGUGAGGUAACGGCUCACCAAGGCAACGAUGCGUAGCCGACCUGAGAGGGUGAUCGGCCACACUGGGACUGAGACACGGCCCAGACUCCUACGGGAGGCAGCAGUAGGGAAUCUUCCGCAAUGGACGAAAGUCUGACGGAGCAACGCCGCGUGAGUGAUGAAGGCUUUCGGGUCGUAAAACUCUGUUGUUAGGGAAGAACAAGUGCUAGUUGAAUAAGCUGGCACCUUGACGGUACCUAACCAGAAAGCCACGGCUAACUACGUGCCAGCAGCCGCGGUAAUACGUAGGUGGCAAGCGUUAUCCGGAAUUAUUGGGCGUAAAGCGCGCGCAGGUGGUUUCUUAAGUCUGAUGUGAAAGCCCACGGCUCACCCGUGGAGGGUCAUUGGAAACUGGGAGACUUGA